UAUAAGCGAUUUAUUUAAUUAACACUUCCAAAUUUCUCACAUUCGAGUCAGUCAGCUACUUUUUCUUCCGUCUGAUUUACGCCAUGGCAGAUUAACAAUUCUUACAUUAUUUUUGUAGCUUUCCCUUCUAGAAUCAGAAUUCAUCUCGCUCUCCCUUCUCCUUAGAGAUCAUUUAUAUGGCUAAGAGAACGAAGAGAACUUUUGUAAUUCCAAUUAAGGUUCCGUGUGAAACAUAUUUGGAAAAGAAAACUCUUACACAAAUCAAAUCGAUAAUAUCUAUGUCGUUGGUGACCUACCCAAGUUGAAAGAAAUUCGAGCCACACAAGCACAAGAUGCAAGCCAUUAAUCCAAGUUUUUUUUUGAAGACUUCAUUCCCGGUUUAAAAUGUUGUGAUGCAUUUUUCAGUAAUAGACUUUUGGUACAUAUGGAGAAUAUGCUUUUUCAUCUAAAUUUUUUUUUAUCUAAUGUGUUGAUUUCUAAUUAAGCACACUAAUGUUCUUAAAACAAAUUAUAUUUAAAAUUUU
This is a long non-coding RNA of Camelina sativa (false flax), 524 nucleotides long. RefSeq lists it as uncharacterized. The record is from RefSeq and is a predicted model, not a curated record. Lineage: Eukaryota; Viridiplantae; Streptophyta; Magnoliopsida; Brassicales; Brassicaceae.